Molecule: long non-coding RNA, 456 nt
Organism: Sarcophilus harrisii (Tasmanian devil)
Lineage: Eukaryota; Metazoa; Chordata; Mammalia; Dasyuromorphia; Dasyuridae
Exons: 3
Source: RefSeq, a predicted model, not a curated record
CAUCGGAGCUGGCGAUGCUGGGUGCCUGGGCCACACGAGCGGCUACAAGAGGUCCAUUCACCUGCCUCCCAGCUACGGAUGUGGACGCGGGAACAUGGCACUGAGAGUCCGGACAUCUUCCUUUCCUGCCUUGGAGACCGCUGGCCCAUGAAGAGUCCAGAAUCACGGGACACACAGCGGAAAACUGGGCGCCAGACACCUGGAGAAAGCACGAGGGGAGGGGGCCAGAUGACCUUAGAAGGCUGGCUGAGGCAAGAGCAGUUUUGCUGGGAUCCCGUGGAGUGGGUUUCAGGGGCGUAACAGGGUUUGGCUCAGAGAGUUUUUAAGAAAGCGAGUCAGAGGGAGCUGGGCGAAGACCAGGAGUGGGUUUCAGGGUCAGCAAAGCCGGGGAGGCGGUGCCAGGGCCGAGCAGUCAGGAGCCCAGGUCUGGAUCACUGACCAGAGCGCUUACCUUUU